UACAGAGGUCCCAAGCGUUACUGAGAAUCACUGGGUUUAAAGGGUGCGUAGGUGGUCCGUUAAGUCAGUUGUGAAAUCCCCGGGCUCAACCCGGGAACUGCUUCUGAUACUGGCGGACUUGAGGCCAGUAGGGGUCACUAGAACUGACGGUGGAACGGUGAAAUGCGUAGAUAUCGUCAGGAAUGCCGGUGGUGAAGACGGGUGACUGGGCUGGUUCUGACACUGAGGCACGAAAGCGUGGGGAGCGAACGGG
This 253-nucleotide ribosomal RNA is filed under the name uncultured bacterium. RNAcentral describes it as "partial 16S ribosomal RNA". It matches the Rfam family "Bacterial small subunit ribosomal RNA", at positions 524 to 776 of the family's 1533-position model. The record is from RNAcentral.